This 1086-nucleotide long non-coding RNA is filed under the name Pogona vitticeps (central bearded dragon). RNAcentral's name for it is "lncRNA (ENSPVIG00000020656.1)". The record is from RNAcentral. Lineage: Eukaryota; Metazoa; Chordata; Lepidosauria; Squamata; Agamidae.
UGUUGUUGGGCCGAAGGCUGAGGCCAGUUCCGAUCCUGAGAGAAAAAAUGGGUCAGAAGUUGUGCAAAAAGAGACAAAAUGGAGCCGUGGAGGGAGCUCCUGGAAAGGCCCCAAUGCCUUGUGUAUCCCAGAGCAGCAAAAGGAAAUGGAGGGUCCUUGAGGCACUUCAGAUAGGUUUGCCCUGCCUUGCCUCGUGUUCUGGGAACCCUCAAGGGUUUUUCAAUGGGCAUGGAGGGCCCUCCAUGUUUGUGAGGAGGAACCCCCAUGUCAUUUUUGCAGGGGGAAUUGCAGUAGCCGCCCCCCCCCCGCAGCAGGGGUGGUGUUUCUCCUGGGCUGUGUGUGUGUGAUGUGGGGAAAAAAUGCUCCUCAAGUCCCUCGUUGCCCCGAGAGGGGAAAAACAACAGAGGAAGCCAUGACGGCUGCUGAGCCCCCUCUUUCCCCUGAGAGAGACCCCUCUUCUGGCAGCAGUAGGGCAGGGCCCCCCAAGCGGGGGAACUGCCUGGCCUGGAUCUGGACCCAAGCCAUCGUAAGGUCCAGCCACCUCAACCGUCGGGACCUGAGAUGGACCGGCGGGCCCCUUGGGACGACCCAAGGCUGCCCCAGCACAAUGAGGAAGCCAUGGACGGAGCCUGAAAGCCACAGAAGCAACAACAAAGGUAGGAAACUGUCUCCAGUGGGUUGAAAGAAUCUCCAAAGGAGGACAGGGGAAGAGGUAUCACUUCUCAACACAUCUCUAGCCCCAACAGCUGACUGAAGAAUGGCUCUGCUGCUCUUUCCCUGUCAUGAGAGAUGAAGAGACCACUCAAUUAUGCUUACAUCUGGCAAACCUUCAUUGGCAACAUCACAGUGGUUCUUUUGACCAGUGGCAAUAACACCAGAAGUACGAAGCAGGAGCACCGAUAUUGGUAGGCACUUCAAAUUAACUGCUAGUUCACUCACUUGAUUGAUUAGGACAGGAUGAACUUGCUUUCAGGUGUCAUCAUCAGGUGAUUUCAGCGCUGAGAUAGUAGACUCCUGUUCUGUUCAUCUAAAAGAAUCUACUGGCCUGGCAACCUUUUUGCAAAUAAACCUUCUUUCCCUAUUGCA